This 432-nucleotide ribosomal RNA is filed under the name uncultured bacterium. Its description in RNAcentral is "bacterial SSU rRNA". It matches the Rfam family "Bacterial small subunit ribosomal RNA", at positions 29 to 507 of the family's 1533-position model. The record is from RNAcentral.
AACGAACGCUGGCGGCAUGCCUAACACAUGCAAGUCGAACGAGACCUUCGGGUCUAGUGGCGCACGGGUGCGUAACGCGUGGGAACCUGCCUUUAGGUUCGGAAUAACUCAGAGAAAUUUGAGCUAAUACCGGAUGAUGUCUUCGGACCAAAGAUUUAUCGCCUAAGGAUGAGCCCGCGUUGGAUUAGCUAGUUGGUGGGGUAAAGGCCUACCAAGGCGACGAUCCAUAGCUGGUCUGAGAGGAUGAUCAGCCACACUGGGACUGAGACACGGCCCAGACUCCUACGGGAGGCAGCAGUGGGGAAUAUUGGACAAUGGGCGAAAGCCUGAUCCAGCAAUGCCGCGUGAGUGAAGAAGGCCUUCGGGUUGUAAAGCUCUUUACCCGGGAUGAUAAUGACAGUACCGGGAGAAUAAGCUCCGGCUAACUCCGUG